GGGGAAAACCCCAAGCCAGUAGCUGGUUUCAUUGCUGGUUUAACUGCGCCACCAGGAAGACGAAUGGGUCAUGCAGGUGCUAUUAUUGCUGGAGGUAAAGGUGGUGCCAAAGAGAAAAUCAAAGCCUUAGAAGAUGCUGGAGUUACUGUCACUAUGUCACCUGCACAAAUAGGAAAUACCAUACUUAAGGAAUUGGAAAAAGCCGGGAAAGUGUAGCACCUCAUUCUUCUGGUACCAUCAUUUUAUUUCCUGGAUUAACCUUAGAAAAAAUUCAGCUGUAAUAUAUGUCAAUCAUUAAGUUAUUGCAGUUGCAAGAAUUGUUUGCAAAAUUGUUUUUGCCCCCAUCGUCUGUCUUGUUAACUUGGCCAUGGCAAUGCAAUGCAAUGCAGUGCAUAGGUUGUUUAUUGAACUAUAUAUUCGUCAUGAAAUGACACUGAAUUUGUAUCUUCACUAAAACUACUGCAUGAUAUUAUUCAAUAUGACUUGCAUUGUAUUAUUUUACACUGAGUCUCAGGAAGAAAAGCAAGCUUUGUCAUUGCUAAUUUGUCCCUUCUCCCAGUUAUUUUACUUCUGAGUGGUUGUACCAAUAUUGUUUGCAGUAAAAUUAGUUGGAAUUGCAUGUAUAACAAAUAAGUUGAUAACUAAUGUACCAAUUAAAAAAACAUGUAAAUAUA
Long non-coding RNA from Saccoglossus kowalevskii, 674 nucleotides. The record is from RefSeq and is a predicted model, not a curated record. NCBI's taxonomy places the organism in Eukaryota, Metazoa, Hemichordata, Enteropneusta, Harrimaniidae.